GAUGAAGAACGUAGCGAAAUGCGAUAAGUAGUGAGAAUUGCAGAAUUCAGUGAAUCAUCGAAUCUUUGAACGCACAUUGCGCCCCUUGGUAUUCCAUGGGGCUUGCCUGUUCGAGCGUCAUUUGUACCUUCAAGCUUUGCUUGGUGUUGGGUGUUUGUCCCUCGGGACUCGCCUUAAAGUCAUUGGCAGCCAGUGUUUUGGUUUUGAAGCGCAGCACAAGUCGCGAUUCAAGGCUAUCCGCCCGCUUCCACAAGCCUUUUUCACUUUUGACCUCGGAUCAGGUAGGGAUACCCGCUGAACUUAAGCAUAUCAAUAAGCGGAGGA
RNAcentral lists this unclassified non-coding RNA (324 nucleotides) under soil metagenome. RNAcentral's name for it is "partial contains 5.8S ribosomal RNA, internal transcribed spacer 2, and large subunit ribosomal RNA". The stretch from base 1 to 120 matches the Rfam family "5.8S ribosomal RNA", at positions 35 to 154 of the family's 154-position model. The record is from RNAcentral.